AGCGAACGCUGGCGGCAGGCCUAACACAUGCAAGUCGAACGGAUCCUUCGGGAUUAGUGGCGGACGGGUGAGUAACACGUGGGAACGUGCCCUUUGGUUCGGAACAACUCAGGGAAACUUGAGCUAAUACCGGAUGUGCCCUUCGGGGAAAGAUUUAUCGCCAUUGGAGCGGCCCGCGUCUGAUUAGCUAGUUGGUGAGGUAAAGGCUCACCAAGGCGACGAUCAGUAGCUGGUCUGAGAGGAUGAUCAGCCACAUUGGGACCGAGACACGGCCCAAACUCCUACGGGAGGCAGCAGUGGGGAAUCUUGCGCAAUGGGCGAAAGCCUGACGCAGCCAUGCCGCGUGAAUGAUGAAGGUCUUAGGAUUGUAAAAUUCUUUCACCGGGGACGAUAAUGACGGUACCCGGAGAAGAAGCCCCGGCUAACUUCGUGCCAGCAGCCGCGGUAAU
This 449-nucleotide ribosomal RNA is filed under the name uncultured bacterium. RNAcentral describes it as "bacterial SSU rRNA". It matches the Rfam family "Bacterial small subunit ribosomal RNA", at positions 29 to 524 of the family's 1533-position model. The record is from RNAcentral.